UACGGAGGGUGCAAGCGUUAUCCGGAUUCACUGGGUUUAAAGGGUGCGUAGGAGGGCAGGUAAGUCAGUGGUGAAAUCUCCGGGCUUAACUCGGAAACUGCCGUUGAUAUUAUCUGUCUUGAAUAUUGUGGAGGUGGGCGGAACGGGUCAUGUAGCGGUGAAAUGCUUAGAGAUGACCCGGAACACCGAUUGCGAAGGCAGCCCACUACGCAAUGAUUGACGCUGAGGCACGAAAGCGUGGGGAUCAAACAGG
RNAcentral lists this ribosomal RNA (253 nucleotides) under uncultured bacterium. RNAcentral describes it as "partial 16S ribosomal RNA". It matches the Rfam family "Bacterial small subunit ribosomal RNA", at positions 524 to 776 of the family's 1533-position model. The record is from RNAcentral.